Molecule: long non-coding RNA, 929 nt
Organism: Gasterosteus aculeatus aculeatus (three-spined stickleback)
Lineage: Eukaryota; Metazoa; Chordata; Actinopteri; Perciformes; Gasterosteidae
Source: Ensembl
CGAAGCUGUCAAGGUAAGAAACAUCUGCCUAGUUGAGGUGAUUGACACUGGCAAAGAGUCAGCAACAGCAAUCUCCUCUCCUUCUGGAGCCCUGGCAUGGAGGGAUGAUGAUGAGGGAUUGAACACAAGAAGCACCAUAUUCAGGAAAAUCAUCAAGUCGAGUUAAUUUGUGUUUCAACCCACAAUGACUUCUCCACAAUGGAGGAGAAGAGAUCAAUUUAGUCCCAGAUGUACAACGCCAUUUUCAAGACGGACAUUUCAAGAAAAGCGAGACAUCGAGAGAAGAGAUCGACACAGGUGGUAUUCCUUCGGGUGGGACUGUGGAGGACAUCCCUGAAGGCCUGGGGGUUUAAACAAAAGGGCUUUAAUGCAGACGGUUCAUAUAAGACGGAGGAUGUGCCUCGUCUACUCACUGCGGGGCCUGCUGGUCGAAUACGAGGCAGAUGGACAAAGGCGCAUUGAAGGGCUGAGCCUGCAGACUUCAUGGCACGCUGUUUGAUUAUUAUAUGACGUCUGAGUAGAGAAUAAACUCUAAAGAUAAACUUUGUUCAACGGUUCUUUACUCCAAUGUUCUAGGACUCGCUGUAAUAAUGUACUUUUGUCUUUUUUUCAAAAAAUGCAGUCCAGUGGUAUCCAAAGUAACCGGGUUUGAAGGACCACAUUCAAAACAUCCUUUCUUCUAUGGGUUAGGGACGGGGGUGACAUUGCCUCCGCAGGCCCUUAUUGUGCGCUUUGGAUGCACACACACUACUUGUUAAUAGUCUUCUAUGGGUCUCAAUGGUGGGGAGCAAAAUACAUUUCUUCCAAAACGUAUAACCUCAGUACCCUUUAGAGUCGCAUGAGGAGGUCUGAAUGUUCCCAUUGUUAUGAUAAUUGAAUCUGAUUCAAAAGGCUACUGUAUUAUGUUAGUGUAACCAAUGAGAGAAAAG